RNAcentral lists this unclassified non-coding RNA (253 nucleotides) under uncultured Caryophanales bacterium. RNAcentral's name for it is "uncultured Bacillales bacterium contains 16S-23S intergenic spacer region". It matches the Rfam family "Bacterial small subunit ribosomal RNA", at positions 524 to 776 of the family's 1533-position model. Lineage: Bacteria; Bacillati; Bacillota; Bacilli; Caryophanales. The record is from RNAcentral.
UACGGAGGGUGCGAGCGUUAUACGGAAUUAUUGGGCGUAAAGCGCGCGCAGGCGGUCUUUUAAGUCUGAUGUGAAAGCCCACGGCUCAACCGUGGAGGGUCAUUGGAAACUGGAGGACUUGAGUGCAGGAGAGGAAAGUGGACUUCCACGUGUAGCGGUGAAAUGCGUAGAGAUGUGGAGGAACACCAGUGGCGAAGGCUACUUUCUGGUCUGUAACUGACGCUGAGGCGCGAAAGCGUGGGGAGCAAACAGG